UUCUCUCUUUUCUUCUUCUUCCUCCCCCAACGUGAAGGUCCUCUCUGUGUGCCCUAAUAGCUGUCGACUGUCUCCUCUCCAGCCGACACUGCACGCGUCCAACCGAGCCGUCACCAGUUCGCUGGUUGUUCGUUCGUGGGUCGUCGUUCGUGCAGGUCGGCUCGAUCUCGUCAGCAAGCAGCGAUCGUCCAGAUCUCCUUCGCCGCGCGCCGAUCUCACCGAGCCAAUCAUAUUCGCAUCCGCGCCGCAAACCGCUUGAUCGUCGCGUGCCACGCCCGUCUCCCAGCAGCUCGAGCCGCUGCCAUGAGAUCCAGCCACGCCGGACCUAUUCAACGGAGUCGUCUGCGUUAAUGGUGUCGUCGUCGUCGCCUCAAGCCGAUCUUCUCUACCACCUAUUGCCGCACCGCCCAACCCCUGUUGCGCGGGUCUUCAUCGAACGAUUUGGGUAAGAGUAGGGACGCGCCGAUGAAUGACAAGCAGAAUUCGUGAUCGAGCCACUGGGACCAGUUUUAUGCUUCUGCUCAUGGUGUUUAGAUUUCUUUCACGUUUUUUCAACUUUCAGUCUUCAUGUUUGAAACUUAAUGAUUAGUAUUUGUUUCCAAACUUUUACAGUUUUCUAGACUCAUUAAAUUUCUAAUUAUGAUUUAUUGGUACCAUGUUAUUUGACUUU
Benincasa hispida (wax gourd) is the source of this 670-nucleotide long non-coding RNA. RefSeq lists it as uncharacterized. The record is from RefSeq and is a predicted model, not a curated record. NCBI's taxonomy places the organism in Eukaryota, Viridiplantae, Streptophyta, Magnoliopsida, Cucurbitales, Cucurbitaceae.